UGCUAGGGAAGAGAGAAGAAUGCUAGAUCGUGAGAGCCCUCACCGUGUGGCGUUCGGGGUGGGUUUGUGUCUGCCCUGGGUGUGGCUCUCCCAGAUGCUAUUGGCCAGGUGGUUGCCGAUGGCGGUCAGGACCUGGGUGAGCUCCCGAGGCCAGUCAUCCAAGUCCAGAGAGCGGACCCUCGAUAGGUGUGUCCCCAGGUUACGGUGGAUCCCUGAACACUCAAUGCAGAUCAACGCACCCAGGUUGAGACUGGCCCAUGUGGGGUCUGGAUGAAGGACAGACAAACCAGAGCACAGGAUGUGAGAAAUCAUCCACUCUCCCACUGUGUUGGCAUGCUGCAGAGAACGGAGCUGCUGCAUGUGACAGAUCCUAAUUCAAAUGGCUUCAUUCGGCACCCUGGAGCAUCAUUCCUUCUCCCCACGCUGUUUUUUUGGUCAGCCUAUUUUUGGCACGGCGGCCAUCAUCCGCUUCAUCCAACUCACUUCCAUUCAAUUCCUGACAGAAAUGCCGCCUCUGACACCAGUGCAAUGCACACUAUGGGCUCUGGCCAAAAGUAGUGCUCUAUGUAGGGAAUAGAGUGCCAUUUGGGAUUGAGCCCAUGAGAUGGGUACCACAGAGUGGACUGUCAGAGUCAGAAUCUGUGAUCGUGGCUGUCAUGGAACAUUUGCUGGCCAAAAUGUAUAAAUUAUGCUAAAUAAAUGUUUAAAGCACAAGUGACUCUCAACUAAUUAGGGACUCUGGUGACCU
Long non-coding RNA from Oncorhynchus gorbuscha (pink salmon), 748 nucleotides. RefSeq lists it as uncharacterized. The record is from RefSeq and is a predicted model, not a curated record. Lineage: Eukaryota; Metazoa; Chordata; Actinopteri; Salmoniformes; Salmonidae. The transcript is spliced from 3 exons.